CCUACGGGUGGCAGCAGUGAGGAAUAUUGGUCAAUGGGCGCAAGCCUGAUCCAGCCAAGUCGCGUGAAGGAUGACGGCCCUCCGGGUUGUAAGCUUCUUUUGUCAGGGGGAAAGUGAGUCCACGUGUGGGCUUAGCGAGAGUCCCUGAAGAAAAAGCAUCGGCUAACUCAGUGCCAGCAGCCGCGGUAAUACGUAGGAUGCGAGCGUUAUCCGGAUUUAUUGGGUUAAAAGGGUGCGUAGGCGGAAUAUCAAGUCAGCGGUAAAAAUUCGGGGCUCAACCCCGUCGUGCCGUUGAAACUGAUGUUCUUGAGUGGGCGAGAAGUAUGCGGAAUGCGUGGUGUAGCGGUGAAAUGCAUAGAUAUCACGCAGAACUCCGAUUGCGAAGGCAGCAUACCGGCGCUCAACUGACGCUCAUGCACGAAAGUGUGGGUAUCGAACAGGAUUAGAUACCCCGGUAGUC
RNAcentral lists this ribosomal RNA (460 nucleotides) under uncultured bacterium. Its description in RNAcentral is "partial 16S ribosomal RNA". It matches the Rfam family "Bacterial small subunit ribosomal RNA", at positions 338 to 795 of the family's 1533-position model. The record is from RNAcentral.